RNAcentral lists this ribosomal RNA (397 nucleotides) under uncultured Alphaproteobacteria bacterium. Its description in RNAcentral is "bacterial SSU rRNA". It matches the Rfam family "Bacterial small subunit ribosomal RNA", at positions 9 to 425 of the family's 1533-position model. Lineage: Bacteria; Pseudomonadati; Pseudomonadota; Alphaproteobacteria. The record is from RNAcentral.
GAGUUUGAUCUUGGCUCAGAACGAACGCUGGCGGCAUGCCUAACACAUGCAAGUCGAACGGGAUCCGAGCUUCGGUUCGGUGAGAGUGGCGGACGGGUGAGUAACGCGUGGGAACCUGCCCAGUGGUGGGGGAUAACUGCGGGAAACUGCAGCUAAUACCGCAUGAGCCCGAGAGGGGAAAGAUUUAUCGCCAUUGGAGGGGCCCGCGUUCGAUUAGGUAGUUGGUGAGGCAAAGGCUCACCAAGCCGACGAUCGAUAGCUGGUCUGAGAGGAUGAUCAGCCACACUGGGACUGAGAUACGGCCCAGACUCCUACGGGAGGCAGCAGUGGGGAAUAUUGGACAAUGGGGGCAACCCUGAUCCAGCAAUGCCGCGUGAGUGAUGAAGGCCUUCGGUUG